GUGGGGAAUCUUGCACAAUGGGCGAAAGCCUGAUGCAGCCAUGCCGCGUGAAUGAUGAAGGCCUUAGGGUUGUAAAAUUCUUUCGUCAGGGAUGAUAAUGACCGUACCUGAAGAAGAAGCCCCGGCUAACUUCGUGCCAGCAGCCGCGGUAAUACGAAGGGGGCUAGCGUUGUUCGGAAUUACUGGACGUAAAGCGCACGUAGGCGGACUUUUAAGUCAGGUGUGAAAUCCCGGGGCUCAACCUCGGAACUGCAUUUGAAACUGGAAGUCUUGAGAUCAGGAGAGGUUAGCGGAAUACCGAGUGUAGAGGUGAAAUUCGUAGAUAUUCGGUGGAACACCAGUGGCGAAGGCGGCUAACUGGACUGAUACUGACGCUGAGGUGCGAAAGUGUGGGGAGCAAACAGGAUUAGAUACCCCGGUAGUCC
Molecule: ribosomal RNA, 425 nt
Filed under: uncultured bacterium
Lineage: Bacteria
Description: partial 16S ribosomal RNA
Rfam family: Bacterial small subunit ribosomal RNA
Source: RNAcentral